RNAcentral lists this ribosomal RNA (2081 nucleotides) under Escherichia coli KTE48. Its description in RNAcentral is "bacterial LSU rRNA". It matches the Rfam family "Bacterial large subunit ribosomal RNA", at positions 1 to 2109 of the family's 2925-position model. Lineage: Bacteria; Pseudomonadati; Pseudomonadota; Gammaproteobacteria; Enterobacterales; Enterobacteriaceae. The record is from RNAcentral.
UUAAGCGACUAAGCGUACACGGUGGAUGCCCUGGCAGUCAGAGGCGAUGAAGGACGUGCUAAUCUGCGAUAAGCGUCGGUAAGGUGAUAUGAACCGUUAUAACCGGCGAUUUCCGAAUGGGGAAACCCAGUGUGAUUCGUCACACUAUCAUUAACUGAAUCCAUAGGUUAAUGAGGCGAACCGGGGGAACUGAAACAUCUAAGUACCCCGAGGAAAAGAAAUCAACCGAGAUUCCCCCAGUAGCGGCGAGCGAACGGGGAGCAGCCCAGAGCCUGAAUCAGUGUGUGUGUUAGUGGAAGCGUCUGGAAAGGCGCGCGAUACAGGGUGACAGCCCCGUACACAAAAAUGCACAUAUUGUGAGCUCGAUGAGUAGGGCGGGACACGUGGUAUCCUGUCUGAAUAUGGGGGGACCAUCCUCCAAGGCUAAAUACUCCUGACUGACCGAUAGUGAACCAGUACCGUGAGGGAAAGGCGAAAAGAACCCCGGCGAGGGGAGUGAAAAAGAACCUGAAACCGUGUACGUACAAGCAGUGGGAGCACGCUUAGGCGUGUGACUGCGUACCUUUUGUAUAAUGGGUCAGCGACUUAUAUUCUGUAGCAAGGUUAACCGAAUAGGGGAGCCGAAGGGAAACCGAGUCUUAACUGGGCGUUAAGUUGCAGGGUAUAGACCCGAAACCCGGUGAUCUAGCCAUGGGCAGGUUGAAGGUUGGGUAACACUAACUGGAGGACCGAACCGACUAAUGUUGAAAAAUUAGCGGAUGACUUGUGGCUGGGGGUGAAAGGCCAAUCAAACCGGGAGAUAGCUGGUUCUCCCCGAAAGCUAUUUAGGUAGCGCCUCGUGAAUUCAUCUCCGGGGGUAGAGCACUGUUUCGGCAAGGGGGUCAUCCCGACUUACCAACCCGAUGCAAACUGCGAAUACCGGAGAAUGUUAUCACGGGAGACACACGGCGGGUGCUAACGUCCGUCGUGAAGAGGGAAACAACCCAGACCGCCAGCUAAGGUCCCAAAGUCAUGGUUAAGUGGGAAACGAUGUGGGAAGGCCCAGACAGCCAGGAUGUUGGCUUAGAAGCAGCCAUCAUUUAAAGAAAGCGUAAUAGCUCACUGGUCGAGUCGGCCUGCGCGGAAGAUGUAACGGGGCUAAACCAUGCACCGAAGCUGCGGCAGCGACGCUUAUGCGUUGUUGGGUAGGGGAGCGUUCUGUAAGCCUGUGAAGGUGUACUGUGAGGUAUGCUGGAGGUAUCAGAAGUGCGAAUGCUGACAUAAGUAACGAUAAAGCGGGUGAAAAGCCCGCUCGCCGGAAGACCAAGGGUUCCUGUCCAACGUUAAUCGGGGCAGGGUGAGUCGACCCCUAAGGCGAGGCCGAAAGGCGUAGUCGAUGGGAAACAGGUUAAUAUUCCUGUACUUGGUGUUACUGCGAAGGGGGGACGGAGAAGGCUAUGUUGGCCGGGCGACGGUUGUCCCGGUUUAAGCGUGUAGGCUGGUUUUCCAGGCAAAUCCGGAAAAUCAAGGCUGAGGCGUGAUGACGAGGCACUACGGUGCUGAAGCAACAAAUGCCCUGCUUCCAGGAAAAGCCUCUAAGCAUCAGGUAACAUCAAAUCGUACCCCAAACCGACACAGGUGGUCAGGUAGAGAAUACCAAGGCGCUUGAGAGAACUCGGGUGAAGGAACUAGGCAAAAUGGUGCCGUAACUUCGGGAGAAGGCACGCUGAUAUGUAGGUGAAGUCCCUCGCGGAUGGAGCUGAAAUCAGUCGAAGAUACCAGCUGGCUGCAACUGUUUAUUAAAAACACAGCACUGUGCAAACACGAAAGUGGACGUAUACGGUGUGACGCCUGCCCGGUGCCGGAAGGUUAAUUGAUGGGGUUAGCGCAAGCGAAGCUCUUGAUCGAAGCCCCGGUAAACGGCGGCCGUAACUAUAACGGUCCUAAGGUAGCGAAAUUCCUUGUCGGGUAAGUUCCGACCUGCACGAAUGGCGUAAUGAUGGCCAGGCUGUCUCCACCCGAGACUCAGUGAAAUUGAACUCGCUGUGAAGAUGCAGUGUACCCGCGGCAAGACGGAAAGACCCCGUGAACCUUUACUAUAG